RNAcentral lists this ribosomal RNA (708 nucleotides) under Triticum aestivum (bread wheat). RNAcentral describes it as "partial small subunit ribosomal RNA". The record is from RNAcentral. Lineage: Eukaryota; Viridiplantae; Streptophyta; Magnoliopsida; Poales; Poaceae.
AUGGCAGGAGGAGACGAACUGAAGCUGCUCGGCUCGUGGCUAAGCCCAUUUGCCACUAGGGUGAAGCUUGCCCUCACCCUCAAGGGCCUGAGGUACGAAAACGUGGAGGAGGACCUCUCCAACAAGAGCGAGCUGCUCCGCAGCUCCAACCCUGUGCACAAGAAGGUGCCAGUGCUUAUCCACAACGGCGCUCCCGUGUGCGAGUCCACAAUCAUCCUGCAGUACAUCGACGAAGCAUUCGCCGACAUCGGCCCCUCCCUCCUCCCCUCGGACCCCCACCAACGUGCCGUCGCUCGCUUCUGGGCCGCCUACAUCGAUGACAAGCUCGUGAUCCCAUGGGUGCGGUCGUUCAGGGGCAAGACGGAGGAGGAGAAGUCUGAGUGGAUGGAGCAGACGUUCAUCGCCGUGGAGGCCCUGGAAGGAGCCCUGAGGGAGUGCGCGAAGGGCAAGGGCUUCUUCGGCGGCGACAAUGUCGGGCUCGUCGACGUCGUGCUAGGCAGCCUGCUCACGUGGGUGCACGCGACCGAGGUGAUGUCGGGGACCAAGAUGUUUGACCCUUCUAAGACCCCACUGCUGGCCACGUGGAUGGAGCGCUUCGACGAGCUUGCCGCUGCCAAGGCCGUCAUGCCGGACGUUAACAGGAUGGUCGAGUUCAAGACGAGGCAGGCGCAGGCCAUCUCUGUCGCUGCAGCUUCACAGCGUCAGUAA